Molecule: long non-coding RNA, 5887 nt
Organism: Gossypium raimondii (Peruvian cotton)
Lineage: Eukaryota; Viridiplantae; Streptophyta; Magnoliopsida; Malvales; Malvaceae
Exons: 2
Source: RefSeq, a predicted model, not a curated record
UACUCAUGUAUCUCAUAUAAUGUUUUAUGAUCAAAUAAGUCCAUAGUAUGUCAUAUUAGAAGCUUCAUUUUCAUACAUUGUAUAUUUAGCAAUUUGAACUAAGGCGGCGUUCUUUAAUUAUGGGAUUCGAGAAAUUGUGCCUCUAACUUAUGGAGUACGAUCAUCUCUUUUAAUCGAAAUAAUCAAACAUCCCUCUUUUUUUAAAAAAAAAGAAUAAUUUUUAAAAAUAUAUAAGAUUUGAGUAAUAAUUAAAAAGUGAACGUUCUUAUUUUCGAGAAUUUGAGAUUUUGUGCCCCAACUUGCGGGACAUGAUUUUUCGCCUUGAUCGACCUGAAAUGAGAAAACCACCUCAUUAAAAAUUCAAUUUAGAUAGAGACUUUUUCAAUACCAUCAAAUAACAUUGCGCGAAAGGGAUCGCAUUUUAAAUUCUCUUCAGAUUUUCAAAUUUUGACGUCAAGACAUUAAGUAAUCAACUAGGUACCAAUUUUGGGCAUUAUAAGGGUGUUAAUCCUUCCUCAUACGUAACCGAAUCCCGAACCCUUUCCUGGAUUUUGUAGACUGAAAAUCAUUAUUUUAGUAAAUCUAACAAUUUUAUUAAAAUGACCAAGUUUUGAGGUGGUCCAAUCACACCUAAUUAAAAAGGAUUGGUGGCGACUCCAUGUUUUUUUAUAAUAAAAAGUCGAAUUCAAUAAAAGGUUUCAACAGCUUGGCGACUUCACUAGGGAGAAAUAAAAAAGUCGAGCUGCGAGUUGAUUACUUUUUGGUUUUUUGGUUGAAAAUUGAUAAUUCGGUUUAAAUUGAUGAUCCCUUCCUUGCAUUUCAUCCUUCAUGUUUUAUUUUGGUGGUAAAUAAUGUCUUUGUUAUCUCGGGUUACAUCUUGAUCUAAUACAUCUUUUUUAUUGGUUCGAGAGUUUCUCUUUGUAUGUUUUCACAGAUUGUAUGGCAUAGUUGUUCCAUUUUACCCUUCUUAAGUGGGAAUGAGAAGCUAUUCCUUUGUGAGGUCUUUACCUCCGUAUAGGAUAAUAGAUCACUUACGGGAUACAUCCAUACCUAUUUCUUCGUGAGGUCUUCAUCUCCGUACAAACAUAGGGAAAUGUAUUCUCCUGAAUUGAACUAGGUUCGUAUGAGCCUAGAAUGGGUAAGGAUCGAGGAAUCUGUCAGUUCAGAUACCUUUACUUUAGAACCAAACCGCAUGUAAUAAACCCUAAGAGUCAACCAUAAGAAGAACCAUGUAAAAUCUUUAGCGUUUACCCGAAUAGAUUACAAAGAAAGAAUGUUUUGAUUGUUAUUAUUUGCUUCAUAUUCAAGUUUUAUACGAAAGUACUGACUUGUUUCGUUUUGUUUUAGCUGUGGUUGCAUUGCAUUUUCAUCUUAGAGGAAAGGUGUUGAUUCGUGUUCAAUUGCUAAAUAUAGAGUUUGUCAUGAAAAAAGGGUUUCUUGAUAAAGUUGAAGUAUUCAUUUUAAGUAAAGAAACUUGUUUUCUAGUAAAGUUGUUCUAAUGGAAUCGAACUAGAAUCAAUGCCUUUUUGUAGGCAUCUUUUCCAUUCAUUAGCAUUAAAUUUCAUUCCAUGCAUUAAAUUUCAUGAAAAUCCCUUAAUCAAUCAAAAAAUAUGACAGUUACCUUGGAAACUACAAAGAAUCUGCCAACUGAAUAUCGCUACGAUACCUGCAGUAAAACUAAAGCCAUGGAUCAAAGGUUAGAUAGACUAGAACAAAUGCAGAAGGACGUGCAAGCCUAGUUGCAAGCGCAGUUGCAGGAUCAAUUAGCUAAGGUGCAAUAAGACAUGAAGGACCAAAUACAGGAGUCCCUAAGAAACAUAAUAAGCCAGUUGACCUAGUUACUAGCCGGUGGAAUUGAAAAAGGGAAGAGUAUUGCAAUAAACUCUGGGGACGAUAACAAAGACCCUACAUACCCCCCGGGCUUUACCCCAGUGAACACCCAAGCUCAACCAGAGACAUAUCUACGGAGAGUACUUGUCACGAUAAGACCACAACAAUACCAUGCUGGCACCUCAGGACCGGUGAAUUACCCAAUGGGUUCAGGUUCCAACCCCGGAGAUAAUCCAACCAACCCCAUUAUUCCAAAUUUAGACAACAGAGCGAAAAUGGAAAGGCCAAGAGUAGAACUUCCAAAAAAACUGGAAGAUCAUUACAAGUGGUUGGAAGAAAAAUUCAGAGCUAUGGAGAGUACCGACUACCUUUGUGGGGUCGAUGUAAGGAGUUGAGUUUGGUCCCAGAUCUAGUGCUCCCACCAAAAUUUAAAACUCCAGAACUUGAAAAAUACAAUCUAGACAAAUUUAAAUCGUAUUUUGAAAUCGUGCAUUUGAGAUUUAUUUAUUUAGUUUACUUAGUUUAAAAUCUUAGUUUUUAACCAUCCUCUUCAAACAUAGUAUUUUUCUUCACCAAAGUGUUUUAAAUAGCAUUCAUAAAUAAUUCUUUUCACAGUCCUUGUGGGUACGAUAACUCGACAUUUACUUGUCACUUUAUUACUUGUUGCGAUUGUGUACACUUGCAUAUAUCCUUCAUUCCAUAAGGCGCAACACAACUUCUCGAUUGGCGAAUAUCUUGUCUCGUAUUCCGUGAACUUCUUACUGAGGUAAUAGAUUGUUCUUUCUUUCCUCCCAACUCAUUAUGUUGGCCUAGUACACAUCCCAUAGAAUUUCCAAAAUACUGCCAAGUAUAGUAUCAGUGGUUUUUCUCGGCUAGGUGGUAUUAGCACUGGGGCAUUGGACAAAUAAUGUUUAAUUUUGUCGAAGGUCUUCUGGCAUUCCUCAUCCCAUACACCUGGAUUAUGUUUCUUAAGGAGAUGGAAUAUGAUGUCAUAUUUCUCGGUUAGUUGUGAAAUGAACUGGGCAAUGUAAUUUAAUCUCCUAAAGAAACCCCGAACUUCCUUUUGGGUACUCGGCGGUAGUAACUCCUAUAAAACCUUGACUUUAUCUAUGUUAAUCUCAAUUCCUUUCUCGCUGACCACAAAUCUUAAUAAUUUGCUCAACGUGGCCCUGAAAGUGCAUUUUGCUUGAUUUAGCUUUAGCUGGAAUAUUUUUAACCUCAAAAAUAGUUUCCUCAAGAAUUUCACAUGAUCUUUCUCAGUUUGGGAUUUUGCGAUGAUAUCAUCAACAAAAACCUCAAUUUAUUUGUGCAUCAUAUUAUGUAACAAAGUCACUAUGGCUCUUUGAUAUGUUGCUCCUACAUUUUUCAGCCCAAAUGGCAUCACUUUAUAACAAAAUGUUCCCUACACUGUUACGAAUGUGGUCUUCUCCAUAUCUUCAGGAUGCACCUUUAUCUGGUUGUAUUCGGAGAAACCAUCCAUGAAAGAGAAUAGCGAAUGACCUGUCGUGUUGUCUAGUAAAGUAUCGAUGUAGAGUAACAUAAAAUUAUCCUUUGGGUUGGCCUUGUUUAAAUUCCUGUAAUCUACAUGCAUCGUACCUUCCCAUCUUUCUUAGGGACGUGGACUAUGUGGCUAACCAGUCUGAAUAUUUGACCACUUGUAGGAAACCAACGUCAAAUAAUUUUUUGACCUCUUCUUUUAUUUUCAACAGUACGUUUAGCCUCAUCCUUCGAAGCUUCUACUGAUCUGGCUUGCAUUCUUCUUUUAUGGGAAGCCUGUGUACCACGAUAUCAGUACUUAGACCAUGCAUAUCUUGAUACGACCAUGCGAAGACAUCUUUGAAUUCUUAGAGUAACUUAAAAUAUCUCGCCUUGUUUUUGCAGUAAUGCAAAUUCUGAUUUUCACCUCUUUCUUUUCUUGUUUAUCCUUAAACUCACAAUUUCCAUCAACUUUUUGUGAGGUAGGAUCUGUUUCUCAUAUUGCUCUAUCAUCCUUGACAAAUCAAGAGACAAGUUACAAUCUCGAUCAUCUUCAAAGUCUUAAGGUUCCUCUAGACACAUAUACUGCUCAAAAGGAGACCUCAAGUCAGCAAUAACAUCACUCGUAUCAUUGAUAUCUUCCUGUCAUAGGAAUAAAAGAAUACCUAAAGAAUAAAUUUAAGGAUGAUUAUCUGCGUGGUAUGAGUAUGAAUGAAGGAAAUAGUAAAGUGUUUUCCAAAUGGGACAUAAAAAUACAUUGUUUUCAUUGAAAUAAAGAUAAUGGACAUGCGUUUUUCACAAAAGGAUCCUUAUUGCUCUUAGGCUUAGAGCAAUGGGUAUGUUCUAAACAUUACUCUGAAAUAGUCCUAAAAACUACAGGGAUCUCUUUCGGAGUCCAAUUGUUCAGAAUACUUCCGGGGAUAUAAGGACAAAUUCUUGAUAGGUUUUCUUCUUCAGCUCCCUCUUCAGAGGAAAAUACAUCUUUUCCCUCAAAACCCUUGAUAUUUUCAAAGAAUUCCAACUCUUUGUUGUCCAUCAGACUUUACACUAGAGCUUUGAAUUUGGCGCACUCUUGGAUUUCAUGACCUUCCGCAGCAUGAAACUUGUAGUAGCUCUUCACUCCUUUUGGUCCCUCCUCCGAAUCUUAAAUGAUCAAGUCCACGUUUAUCAUUUUUUUCCAAUCCCAUUUUAGAGGGGAUUUCACUUCCUCAACAUCAAUUUUGGUCCUCUUACUCCAUUCUAGCCAUAUUAGGCCCUAAGGGAUCAUCAAACCUUACCAUUCCCUUCUUGAUAAACCUCUCGAUUAACUUCUUGAAGGCAGUGCAUUCUCGAUCAAGUGUCCCGUUAUCCCUGAGUGGUAUUUGUGCUGAGCAUUCACAUCAUACCACUUUGGGAAUAGAGGUUGCAUGGGCUUUAGGUAAAACGGUGAAACUACAUGAGCAUUAAAUAGAUUCUAGUAUAAUUCUCCAUAUGUCAUCGGGAUAUGAGUGAAUUGGAGUUUUUCUGUGUUCAGCCUUAAAUUGGAUUCUUGCAUCGAAGGGCCCUGAUGGUUGGCCGUCAUAGUCUGAGGUUGUGUCAUUAUGACCGGUUUUGAAUAGCUCUUAUUGUAUACGUUUGUAGUGUUUACUUUAUUUUCUUUCUUUCUUGGGGCAGACCUUUUAGCAUUUUCUCUUCCAUAUAUCUUCCCUCUCCUUAUCGCGUUCUCAAUAAUUUCUUCAGACAUAACUAUAUCUGAGAAGCUUUUAGUAGAACUUCUUAGUAUGUGAUUGAUGAAUAGAGCUUUCAGGGUAUUGGAAAAAAGACAAACUACCCCCAAAAUUGAAGGAUCCUAUAUUUUUUACCAUACAUUGCAAUAUUGGAGCAACAUAUUGUGGUAAGGCACUAUGUGACUUAGGUGAAAGUAUCAACUUGAUGCUAAUGUCAAUAUUUAGGAAGUUGGGGAUAGGUGAAGUUAGACUUACUACGAUUACACUUCAAUUAGCAGAUCGAUUCUUAGCACAUCCAGAAGGAAAAAUCGAUGACGUAUUGGUACGUGUAGAUAAAUUUAUCUUUCCUGUUGACUUUGUGAUUCUAGACUUUGAAGCAGACAAAGAGGUGUCAAUCAUCCUAAGAAGACCAUUCUUAGCAACCGGAAGGACCCUUAUUGAUGUGCAGAAAGGCGAGCUUACUAUGCCUGUUCAGGAUGACCAGACUUUGAAGCAGACAAAGAGGUGUCAAUCAUCCUAAGAAGACCAUUCUUAGCAACCGGAAGGACCCUUAUUGAUGUGCAGAAGGGCGAGCUUACUAUGUCUGUUCAGGAUGACCAGGUAACAUUUAACGUUUUUAAGUCCAUGUGAUUUCCUGACAUAAUUGAUGAUUGUUCUGCAGUAUCUGAUUUAGAGGAUUUAAUCAUGGAGAAGGAACUCAAUUACGUUGAGGACCCAUUGGAACAAAUUUUGACAUUAGAUCCUUCAAAUGAUGAAGAGGAGGAAAAAUACUUAGCUUUGUUAAAAGCUAAUCGAAGGGGAUUUAAUCCGCAAUCCCGCUUUGAAUCUUUAGAGUUAGAGAAAAGGGAUUAUGCCCAACAAAAAGCGUCAAUUGA